CGGGAUGUAGCACAGCUUGGCUAGUGCGCCUGGUUUGGGACCAGGAGGUCGCAGGUUCAAAUCCUGCCAUCCCGACAA
This 78-nucleotide transfer RNA is filed under the name Acidimicrobium sp. BACL19 MAG-120924-bin39. RNAcentral describes it as "tRNA-Pro". It matches the Rfam family "tRNA". Rfam says of the family: Transfer RNA (tRNA) molecules are approximately 80 nucleotides in length. Their secondary structure includes four short double-helical elements and three loops (D, anti-codon, and T loops). RNAcentral also lists the same sequence under 1 other name. The record is from RNAcentral. Lineage: Bacteria; Bacillati; Actinomycetota; Acidimicrobiia; Acidimicrobiales; Acidimicrobiaceae.